AGCUCUUCUCUUGGUCAGCUUUCUCUGUAUGUACUGAGAGCUGCCAAAUGAAGGGCUGU
Molecule: microRNA precursor, 59 nt
Filed under: Nautilus pompilius
Lineage: Eukaryota; Metazoa; Mollusca; Cephalopoda; Nautilida; Nautilidae
Description: Npo-Mir-22-P2_pre stem-loop
Source: RNAcentral